GCACCCAUGGCCGAGUGGUCCCAGACUACCAAUCUGGAGGUCACGGGUUCGAGUCCGUGUGGCGGUA
RNAcentral lists this transfer RNA (67 nucleotides) under Caenorhabditis japonica. It matches the Rfam family "tRNA". Rfam says of the family: Transfer RNA (tRNA) molecules are approximately 80 nucleotides in length. Their secondary structure includes four short double-helical elements and three loops (D, anti-codon, and T loops). Further hydrogen bonds mediate the characteristic L-shaped molecular structure. tRNAs have two regions of fundamental functional importance: the anti-codon, which is responsible for specific mRNA codon recognition, and the 3' end, to which the tRNAs corresponding amino acid is attached (by aminoacyl-tRNA synthetases). tRNAs cope with the degeneracy of the genetic code in two manners: having more than one tRNA (with a specific anti-codon) for a particular amino acid; and 'wobble' base-pairing, i.e. permitting non-standard base-pairing at the 3rd anti-codon position. Lineage: Eukaryota; Metazoa; Nematoda; Chromadorea; Rhabditida; Rhabditidae. The record is from Rfam by way of RNAcentral.